This 253-nucleotide ribosomal RNA is filed under the name uncultured bacterium. RNAcentral describes it as "partial 16S ribosomal RNA". It matches the Rfam family "Bacterial small subunit ribosomal RNA", at positions 524 to 776 of the family's 1533-position model. The record is from RNAcentral.
UACGGGGGGGGCAAGCGUUGUUCGGAAUUAUUGGGCGUAAAGGGCUCGUAGGCGGUUUGUCGCGUCGGGAGUGAAAACACCGGGCUUAACUCGGUGCUUGCUUUCGAUACGGGCAGACUAGAGGAAUGCAGGGGAGAACGGAAUUCCUGGUGUAGCGGUGAAAUGCGCAGAUAUCAGGAGGAACACCGGUGGCGAAGGCGGUUCUCUGGGCAUGUCCUGACGCUGAGGAGCGAAAGUGUGGGGAGCGAACAGG